This 1063-nucleotide long non-coding RNA is filed under the name Homo sapiens (human). Its description in RNAcentral is "non-protein coding lnc-KANTR-23:14". The record is from RNAcentral. Lineage: Eukaryota; Metazoa; Chordata; Mammalia; Primates; Hominidae.
CCGUGCCCCUGCUCGCGCUGCAGCCCGUGGAAGGGUUCCGUCCAGCGUAUCCUUCAGAUCUUGCUGUAGGCCUCUGGUGUCUGUGCGCGCGCGGCAGGGGCGGCGGCGGCGACGGCCGGAGGUGUACGGUCAGCGGGUUGCGGAGGAUCGUGCGGGUCGCAAAGGGAAGCCGAGUGCUCCUGCGGCUCCCAGACUGCAACCAGGUGUAAAUCCAAACCGCUUCCAACUCAAGGCAAGUAACAGCCCACGGUGUUCUGGCAGGAAAACAUCAGCUAAGAAAGGAAACUGGGUCCUAUGGCUUGGACUUUCCAACUCUGACAGACCGGCAGGACAGAAACAACUGGUUCAGGAGCCCUUGCCAGCCUCUAGAGAAAUCCCAGAACACUCAGCCCUGAUGACACAUUAAUACCCUGCACAUAUUGGAGACUGCUGACCACGCAUACUCACCAAGCCACAGACUUGUCUUCCACAAGCACGUUCUUACCUCAGCCACAAAGUGCCCAAGCCACAUGUACUAAAGGUUGAAAUCAGAGACAUGUACAGGGUAUUAAACAGAUACCAAGGGGAACAGUUAACUUGAAUAUAGCUUGAAUAGAAAGUCAAAAUCAGCAACAAGUCUACAAUCCAGUGCUGAUAUCAGAUACAAGCUUCAAGGACAACUUUCUGUGUAUGUUUUUUUUUUUUUUUUUGAGACGUAGUCUCGCCCUGUUGCCCAGGCUGGAGUGCAGUGGUGCAAUCUCGGCUCACCACAACCUCUGCCUCCCAGGUUCAAGUGAUUCUCCUGCCUCAGCCUCCCCAGUAGCUGGGAUUAUAGGCGAAUGCCACCAUGCCUGGCUAAUUUUUGUAUUUUUAGUAGAGACGGGGUUUCAGCAUGUUGGCCAGGCCGGUCUCAAACUCCUGACCUUGUGAUCCACCCGUCUCGGCCUCCCAAAGUGCUGGGAUUAUAGGCGUGAGCCACCACUUCUGGCCACAAAUUUCUUUUUGAAGGCUUAUUCCAGUUUUGUGAGGCUAGCAUGAGGUGUAUGCAUUUGCCAGGGGCAAAUUUAUACUGCUGAAUUAACCC